Molecule: long non-coding RNA, 2352 nt
Filed under: Ananas comosus (pineapple)
Lineage: Eukaryota; Viridiplantae; Streptophyta; Magnoliopsida; Poales; Bromeliaceae
Description: long non-coding RNA (ACOM_LNC020666)
Source: RNAcentral
AGCGUUAUUUUCUUUGAUACCAAUUGUUGGAACUAGUAUUUGUACUGAUACCGAUUAUAUAACACAAGAUUUAAAAUAGAACAAAAUAAUAUGAAGAAUAGAUAUUGGAGGAGGAAGAAGGUAACUAAACUAAUACUUUAUUAAUAAAAGACAAUUAAUUACAUUCUCGGUAACACCCAUGCAGCCAUGUCUACUAUGACUUAGGCUUAGUUUGGUAUUGAGGUCUAUCUAACGCUAUUAGAUAAAAUGGAGUUGAGAAAAAAGCAUAUAGGGAUAUGCUUCUGCGUUAUCCGGUGGGACCGCAGAAAAUAUAUCAUAACUGACUCAUCGCGAUAUGCGGAACGCAAUAUUACGUACGAAAACAAACAGGGUAUUUUUCCAUCGUCGUUUCUCACCGCACAUAACGCAAUCUCCCCGCAAUCCCAAACGAAACCUUAUUCCUCUAAUUAACCCAUUCCUCUAACUAAUCCAUGUCUAACUAUAUAUAACCAUCAAAUCAUAAUAGAUGAUAAAUCUAAUUUUACUUUGGAUAAAUACAUAUCCUAACCAUAAUAAAAUAUUUAAAUUUAUCUAUAACUAUAUUUUAAUUAAGUUUGAAUUAUUAUUUCCAACAUCCUCCCUUAAUUCAAACUUUAUCUACGAGUCGCAAAUCCCGUGAACACGCACUUUGAUUUUGCAAUCUCUGUCGCUGUUGUUGUCGUCUUGUUCGAGUUGUGCAGCAUGACGCAUGUCCAAUGAUGUUGCCAUGGUUGAAAUCUUUGCCAUCUGUAGUCUUGAUUAUCCACACCAUCCUUAAAAAUCUGCAGUCCAACAAAUAUCUUGAAAAACAUGUAAUUUUGAUAAAAUUGGAUCGAUAUGAAUUUUAUAAUUUUGUGGUAACCGAGGAGAGUUUGAUCGACACGAUGUUUGUUCAAUGCAUUGAUCUUGAUUUGUGCAUUUUCAUGUGCUUUCUGCUUUCGUAAAUCUAAUUUGUGAUUUGCAUCUUCGAUCACAACAAAAUUAUGAUAAACUUUCUCCGCGCUUUGCUGUAUAAUUUUUUCAUCAAUAGAAAUUUCUUCAAUCAUAUUAUCAUAGUGAACUUUCUCGUCGAUCUGAGUUGCACCGUUUUGAUCAUCAACAUACUCUUCACGAAUAUGAUCUUCAUGAUUUUGAUUAGAUUUUUCUUUCCAAAUUUCUUUGCAAAUUGGGACUUUAGUAUCUUUAUUGUUGGGUUGAAUUUCUUUUUCUUCUUAAAUUUCAUUUUCUUCCUGUAAAUAUUCUCCUCCAAUUUUCGAUAGCAUUCUCCACGCUUCUUGUACUGUCUUUAUCGUUAAAAUUUUACCAACCAAUGAUAGAUUCACUGCUUGUAAAAUAUAUGAUAGAACUUCUCUAUCUCUUUUUCUAAAAUCUCCUCACCAAAUUCUUUUUCAUAAUUUCUAUUUUCUACUAUACCCCACAAAUCUUGAAAUUCUAAAAAAACAUCGAAUGGUGAUUUUCCAUCGUUUAAAGUUUGUUCCAUCGAACUUUUGUAAGCCAGGUUGAAUAAACUAAUAUCUAAAUCCAUAACAAAAACUUGAUAAUCUGAAAAAUAAGUUUCAGAUUUGUACCUUUCUGUUUAAAUGACAUCCUUAAUUCAUCAAGAUCUCGCCGAAUUUUCUCUACUUCGGCUUGCUUGCCUAGCCCUCCUGGCUAUCUGUUCAAGUCUUCUUGGAUCUCUUCACGGGCUCUCGUUGCUCUCUUUUCGUCAAGCGUCACAACCACCUGCUGUCGUGUGUUGUGCGGAGGCCAAUUUCUUUAAAGCGAUUCCUUCACUUUGGUUUUACCUGAACGUCACCUUCGUUGAUCAGCUACGAGUCGCUUGAUUUUGACGUAGCUAUCCGGUACAUUGGAUCUAUAUUCUUUUCGAAUAUAGUAUCAUUUGGUUUAUAAGUCAGAUGGUACUUUCCGGCUCUUUCCGGCUCUGAUACCACUUGUUGGAAUCGUGAUUUUCUCUGAUACCAAUUAUUGGAACUAGUAUUUAUGCUGAUAUCGAUUAUAUAACCCAAGAUCUGAAAUAGAACAAAAUAAUAUAGAGAAAAUAUAUUGGAGGAGGAAGAAGAUAACUAAACUAAUACUUUAUUAAUAAAAGACAAUUAAUUACAUUCUCGGUAGGUACCCGUAAAGCAAUGUCUAUUAUGACUUAUUCUUUUAAUUAACCUAUUCCUCUAACUAACCCAUGCCUAACUAUAUAUAACCAUCAAAUCAUAAUAGAUAAUAAAUCUAAUUAUACUUUGGAUAAAAUAAUAUCCUAACCAUAAUAAAAUAUUUAAACUUAUCUAUAACUAUAUUUUAAUUAAGUUUGGAUUAUUAUUUCCAACAAUAACAAAAGUACUA